CACCAGGAUCAGACAGGGGCUAUGCCUGCAGGAGGCAGAAGGCUUGGGGCCAGGAGCCACUGUGAUCUGGCCUGAUCCGUCCUUGCCCUGCUUAUCUUACCCCGGGCCCUUCUCCCUGGAGAGUGGAGGGUUCCGGCUGUUAUAUUUGUGCUUCCUCUGGUGUCUGCCUCAAGUCCGGCCCGGGCCCUGACACUGCACCUCUGGCUGACCCCAUGCUCUCUGAGACCCUCUGUCCACGUCCUUCCUCUGCGGUGGAGACAGCGGGUGGAGGGCGGGACAUAGGAAUGAGUCCUGAAGGCUGAGGAGCAGGGGGAGAGCUGAUGGGGAGGAUCUCCUAGCAGGAGGGACUCCAGGCAGAGCUGGGAGCAAGGCAGGUGGCUGAGCUCGGCCCAGGCUGGGUGGAGGCCAGGCCUCCUGUGCCUUCUCCCGCUGACGGCGAGCUGAAGGGAGGAGGGCGGCAGCUUCCUUGAGGGCCUGAGUUACAGCCAAGAAGACCUGCUCACUUUUUCCAGAAGUGAGGGAAACUUCCCCGUCAGCCCAGCAGGGCAGGCUGAGGGUCUGCAGCCAGCUUCCGGUCAGACUUCAGAUCCUCCAGCGGCUGUGGCCUUGAGCGUCAUCUCCACAGCAUCCCCUGUGUGCUGGGGGCUGGGGGGCCUGGUAAGGCCCCUCGGAGUGGCACAGCUCGCACUCUGGGGACCCAAAGUCCCCCCACCAGGCCCAGGCGGAAGCACAAGGCAUUUCUGGUCCCAGCGGAGGCCUGAGGCAAAGUCGAGCGCUGGCCGUCUGCACGCCCCGCGGUGUCUCACCUGCCUGAAAGGGAGGAAGGAAGCUCAUGGAGCCCCAUCCGUUCUCCUGCGGGGCAUCCUCCAG
Chlorocebus sabaeus (green monkey) is the source of this 870-nucleotide non-coding RNA. NCBI's taxonomy places the organism in Eukaryota, Metazoa, Chordata, Mammalia, Primates, Cercopithecidae. The record is from RefSeq and is a predicted model, not a curated record.